Long non-coding RNA from Eucalyptus grandis, 747 nucleotides. RefSeq lists it as uncharacterized. The record is from RefSeq and is a predicted model, not a curated record. NCBI's taxonomy places the organism in Eukaryota, Viridiplantae, Streptophyta, Magnoliopsida, Myrtales, Myrtaceae. The transcript has 2 exons.
CUUCCCCUUCAUAUUUUAUUAUUGGCACAUGAUAUUUAAGCCAGGAGUCUCGAUCAUAGCUUCAGCUUCUUGAGAGAGCAGUUAAAGAAAUCUGGAUUCUGCCACUGGAAGCUUGAAUGAGCCUUAAAUUUGGGUUCAACUCGAGUCACGAGGUGAAACUUGGAGACUUGGCAGAUUAACUGCAAAGCAAGCUCAUUUAAAUCAAACUCAGAGAGAUUGCUUACUUGUAAUUAUUUUUAACCUAUACACAUUUGUUCCCGUUCGUGCUCCCGGGAUGUGGAAGUUAAACUGAUCGAGUUCAGAUAUUUGGAUCAUUAGAAAGUAGAAAUUGGGUUAUAGAGGAGGAAGGAAUACCUUCAUACCUAAUUAACCCAAAGGGACCACCUUCUUCAAUUUGCGUUGUGGCAUGUGAGAGCCCAUGGAUGGGAUGAAUUACCUGCUUUGGGGCUCUCUUCAUCACAAUCUUAUGGUGCACCCUUUCUUCUUUUCUUGGCGAGAUGGAACAUGGAUUUGAUGCUCUCAUCCUGGAUCUACCUCCUUGUCAGAUUCCUCAAUGAUUACUGAUGGCUCCUCGAUAUUUUGGAUCCAUCGUGUUGUCAGGGGUCUGCGGGCAUAAACCCUUGCUCUUCUGUAGAAUCUUGUUCUUACAGUAUUAUCUGAUGAUGCCUGCUAGGUAAACAACGAUGCACUCAAAAUGCACCUGAAGCAAGCUCAACAAAGUUUGUAUGUCAUGCCAGUAGUCUCAUU